Molecule: transfer RNA, 73 nt
Filed under: Llanolebias stellifer
Lineage: Eukaryota; Metazoa; Chordata; Actinopteri; Cyprinodontiformes; Rivulidae
Description: tRNA-Asn
Source: RNAcentral
UAGACAGAUGCUCACAGGUUGGAGUUUCUAGAUGUUAAUUAGAGGUUUGUGGGGUCGAAGCCCACUUGUCUAG